UACGUAGGGGGCGAGCGUUGUCCGGAUUUAUUGGGCGUAAAGAGCGCGCAGGCGGUCGUAUAAGUCGAAUGUGAAAGCCCCUGGCUCAACUAGGGAGAGUCAUUCGAUACUGUUCGACUCGAAGGCAGGAGAGGGAAGUGGAAUUCCGGGUGUAGUGGUGAAAUGCGUAGAUAUCCGGAGGAACACCAGUGGCGAAGGCGACUUUCUGGCCUGUUCUUGACGCUGAGGCGCGAAAGCUAGGGGAGCAAACGGG
Molecule: ribosomal RNA, 253 nt
Filed under: uncultured bacterium
Lineage: Bacteria
Description: partial 16S ribosomal RNA
Rfam family: Bacterial small subunit ribosomal RNA
Source: RNAcentral